GGGGUCUUAGUGUAGCCUGGUUUAACACGCUGCCCUGUCACGGCAGAGACCGCCGGUUCAAAUCCGGUAGACCCCG
Molecule: transfer RNA, 76 nt
Filed under: bacterium
Lineage: Bacteria
Also listed under: 1 other name
Description: tRNA-Asp
Rfam family: tRNA
About the family: Transfer RNA (tRNA) molecules are approximately 80 nucleotides in length. Their secondary structure includes four short double-helical elements and three loops (D, anti-codon, and T loops).
Source: RNAcentral